CUACGGGACGCAGCAGUGAGGAAUAUUGCGCAAUGGGGGAAACCCUGACGCAGCGACGCCGCGUGGAUGAUGAAGGCCUUCGGGUUGUAAAAUCCUGUCAGAUGGGAAGAAUUGUUCCAUGUCUAAUAUAUGUGGGACUUGACGGUACCGUCAAAGGAAGCACCGGCUAACUCCGUGCCAGCAGCCGCGGUAAUACGGAGGGUGCAAGCGUUGUUCGGAAUUACUGGGCGUAAAGCGCGCGUAGGCGGUCUGUUAAGUCAGAUGUGAAAGCCCAUGGCUCAACCAUGGACGUGCAUUUGAUACUGGCAGACUUGAGUACUGGAGGGGGCGGUGGAAUUCCCGGUGUAGAGGUGAAAUUCGUAGAUAUCGGGAGGAAUACCGGUGGCGAAGGCGACCACCUGGCCAGAUACUGACGCUGAGGUGCGAAAGCGUGGGGAGCAAACAGGAUUAGAUACCCCUGUAGUC
This 465-nucleotide ribosomal RNA is filed under the name uncultured bacterium. Its description in RNAcentral is "partial 16S ribosomal RNA". It matches the Rfam family "Bacterial small subunit ribosomal RNA", at positions 339 to 795 of the family's 1533-position model. The record is from RNAcentral.